Molecule: long non-coding RNA, 1535 nt
Organism: Lycium barbarum (goji berry)
Lineage: Eukaryota; Viridiplantae; Streptophyta; Magnoliopsida; Solanales; Solanaceae
Exons: 3
Source: RefSeq, a predicted model, not a curated record
CUCUAUUAAAGAGAUAUUGUCCAUAUACAGAUUGAGAAAUACAGACAAAUCUCUUCAAGAUACAAAAAAGGCAGAUUUUUCCGUAGCCAUUUUGCAGGAAAUUUCUGUAUUUUGUAGAGCAAUAUUUAGCUUGUAUACAAAAAUAUUGCUGUACGAACUACAACUAACUAUUUUCACUUUCAGGUGGAGCUUGUGGCUAUGGAGAAUAUGGAAGAACAGUCAACAGUGGAGCAUUUUGUGGCGUCUCUAAGCUAUACAACAAUGGCACUUCUUGUGGUGCAUGCUAUCAGAUGAAAUGCAAGCAUCCAAACUACUGCAAUGAAGAGGGGACAGUUGUGGUGGUAACAGACUCUGGCGAAGAGAAAGCAGAUUUUAUUCUCAGCUUUAGCGCCUACGCAAAAUUAGCUAAGCCUAUAAUGGUUGCAAAGCUUAUCGGGCAGGGUGAGGUUGAAAUAGAGUAUCAAAGAGUUCCUUUCAAGUAUGCAACUGGUGCACAUCUCGUGGUUAAGGUUCAUGAGAGCAGCAACUUCCCUAAUUACUUAGCCAUAGUACUGUUAAACAAAGGUGGACUAAGCGAUAUCAUGGCUAGCUAUUGAAGUUUGGGAGGAGUCCCACAAGCAAUGGAAGUCAAUGGUGAGGAUGUUUGGUGCAGUAUGGGCCAUUUCAGAUCCACCAAAGGGAGCACUGAAGUUCAGGUUUCAAGUGAGAGGCAGUGCAGGAGUGGUGUGGGUGCAGCCCCUCAAAUUGAUUCCUAGUGAUUGGAAGGCUGAAGUUCUGAUUGACACCUUCAUUCAACUUACUUAAAACACUCCAACCACCAAACUUACUACUACUAUUUUUACACAGUAUUCUACUUGCACUACUGAAAAUAUAGAUUAGUAUAGCUUAAGUACUCUAUUUAUGGACUGAAAAUAUCGAGUGGCAUAUUUCGUACCUAUAGCUCGAAUCAAUAAAUUUGAUGUGUGUACUCUUGUUUGAUAUUGGAUUAUGUUACUUGUGAUAAGACAAGAAUCAAUUAUUUCAGAUGCUUAAACCGGGAAAGAAUAUCAGAAACACUAGCUGCAGACUAGGAGUAAAUUCUGUAGCAACAGAGAAAAUAUAAAAUGUUCUAUUUGCUAUAAACUCAACAAACGCUUAUUAACAAUAGUUACUAGUGCCCUUCAACUUGCAACUUUGCCUAUACUCAUGCCAGAAGCAAAAAAAAAAAAAAAAACACACACACUCACACACGGAGAUCACCUCAAAAAGAUGCAAUACUCAGCAACAAAAUUAUAUCCAUUCACCAACUCGAGGAAACCAAAAAUUCACUUGCUAUAAUUAUUUGUCACCUCCAAAAUUAAAUGCAAGUUUGUAGAGAAGCGCAAAUGUGAUCUUGAUUAACAGAGUAUAUUAGCCUGAGCGAGCUUCUGUACUGAAUUCCAUGAACUAUUAGCAUUUGACGGGGUCUGGUUUUGCGGAGGGGUUGAAAAUUUUGAGAAAUACGUCACAAAAAAGAUUCCACCUAAUCUUUAGAAAUACCGUCAAAAAGAUAUGUG